This 97-nucleotide non-coding RNA is filed under the name uncultured Ligilactobacillus sp. RNAcentral's name for it is "THF riboswitch". It matches the Rfam family "THF (Tetrahydrofolate) riboswitch aptamer". Rfam says of the family: THF riboswitch presents a pseudoknot that joins P1-P2 and the loop of P3 and two THF binding. The record is from RNAcentral. Lineage: Bacteria; Bacillati; Bacillota; Bacilli; Lactobacillales; Lactobacillaceae.
AGGGUAGGAACCAUAACGUUAAGGGUCAGCGGAACGGAAUGUGAACGCUGAUUGAAGGGCCACCGUCAUUGGUCCGCGCUAUGAUUUCCGCAUUCAC